This 348-nucleotide unclassified non-coding RNA is filed under the name soil metagenome. RNAcentral's name for it is "partial contains 5.8S ribosomal RNA, internal transcribed spacer 2, and large subunit ribosomal RNA". The stretch from base 1 to 120 matches the Rfam family "5.8S ribosomal RNA", at positions 35 to 154 of the family's 154-position model. The record is from RNAcentral.
GAUGAAGAACGUAGCGAAAUGCGAUAAGUAAUGUGAAUUGCAGAAUUCAGUGAAUCAUCGAAUCUUUGAACGCACAUUGCGCCCGCCAGUAUUCUGGCGGGCAUGCCUGUCUGAGCGUCAUUUCAACCCUCAUGCCCCUAGGGCGUGGUGUUGGGGAUCGGCCAAAGCCCGCGAGGGACGGCCGGCCCCUAAAUCUAGUGGCGGACCCGUCGUGGCCUCCUCUGCUAAGUAGUGAUAUUCCGCAUCGGAGAGCGAUGAGCCCCUGCCGUUAAACCCCCAACUUUCCAAGGUUGACCUCAGAUCAGGUAGGAAUACCCGCUGAACUUAAGCAUAUCAAUAAGCGGAGGA